Molecule: long non-coding RNA, 1843 nt
Organism: Carassius carassius (crucian carp)
Lineage: Eukaryota; Metazoa; Chordata; Actinopteri; Cypriniformes; Cyprinidae
Exons: 3
Source: RefSeq, a predicted model, not a curated record
AACAUUUGUCACUAUUGUGUUACUCAAAGAAACUUUGAAAUAUAUUUCAUAUAAUUAGGUUUGGCAACUAAAGUGAAAAUAAUUAUUAAAUGACUUUCAAUCGGCUUCCUGUAAACUGGUUUGGGGUGGGCUUAUAAAAUCAUAAACCCUGAUAAUUUUUAUCAUGGCAGUUAUACACAUCUCCUGAUAGUAAUCUUGGCUGAAAUAUGUUUUUCACUAGACCAAUCUUUAAGAACUGAAUUUCAUAAUCCUUAACAUCCCUGUAGAUGAGGUUUCUUGACUAUUUGUUAAAUUGCAUGUAUUUGUGUACUAUGCACAUUCUUUCUAAUCAUCACCCUCUCUCUUCUCCUUUAUGAAAAGUGCAACAGAUAACCUUGUAUGGUUGCUCACCUGUGAUAGCCGCUGUUGUCCUUCUGGCUGUGUUUCUGGCAGCCUGCUUUUUUUGCAGAAUCAGUAAAUCAGGUGAAUCUAAUGGAAGCUCUGCAGGAGAUCCAUUGCAUAUCUCCAUAUAAAAGAUUCAGAGAGUGUGAAGAAAAUCUUAAAUCAGGAAAAAGGCCAUCAUCAAAUACUGUAUAUCAUCAUUCAAAGAUUAAUUAAAAUGAGAAAUACUGCAGUAUAUUUUUUAUAAUAUACAAUAUUUGUAAUAUUUUAUUUUAAGUCUUAUAUUAAAGACCAAUUCUAGCUGUUAACUAACUAUUCAAGUCCAAUUACCUUUAUUUAUAUAGUGCUUUAUACAACACAGAUUGUGUCAAAGUAUCUUUACAGUUAAGAAAUAGUGUAAUGCAAACAAGAUUCAAUACUGCUAUAAAGCAGUUCUAAAAAGAGGACAAUAGUAAACAGUAACAACCUAUUGACUAUUAUUAUUAUUUUGUAUUUUUAUUUUGUUUUAUUUAUUUCUUUUGCCUCAAUGUACUCCUAAUUUGCUAGUUUAAUAAUUAAUAGUGUGAAUUGGUCCUUAAAUAUAUAGGUGUGUGCACAUCUGUUUAUUUCAUAUUUAGAAAUGUAUCUAUGUUCAAAAAUACCUGCUGCAUGAUGCUGCUCUUUUAUUUUAUAUUAUUUCAUUAAGACGAAAUGAAAAAAAAAAUUGGAACAUAUCUAUAGUAUCUAUAGUAUUUUUGUAUCAGAUAUUUUUACUUUAACAACUUAUAUAUGACCCUGGACUAUAAAUCCAGUCUUAAGUCGCUGGGGUAUAUUUGUACCAAUAGCCAAAAAAUACAUUGUAUUGGUCAAAAUGAUAGAUUUUUCUUUUAUGCCAAAAAUUAUUCGGAUAUUAAGUAAAGAUCAUGUCCCAUGAAGAUAUUUUGUAAAUUUCCUACCAUAAAUAUAUCAAAACUUAGUUUUUGAUAAGUAAUAUGCAUUGCUAAGAACUUAAUUUGGACAAUUUUAAAGGUGAUUUUCUCAGUAUUUCAAUUUUUUUUUGCACCCUUAGAUUCCAGAUAUUCAAACUGUUCAAAAGAAAUUCAAAACAUACAUCAAUGGAAAGCUUAUUUAUUCAGCUUUUAUGUGAUGUAUAAAUCUCAAUUUUGGAAAAUUGACACUUAAGACUUUCUCUUGUAUAUGUAAAUUUUAUUUGUACUAAUUGGAUGUUGGAAAUUGCUCCUUGUAUUAAUUGUUGUCUUGAAAUUGCUAAAUGUUUUACCAGACUGUCUUUUGUUUAAUUUGAACUUUUAAUACAAGUGACUGUGAAUCUACAAUUAUUUAGCCCAACAUCUUAUGAACAAAAUUUGUUCUGAUGCAGUGUCAUGUUUCUGACAAUAGAAUACCUUAUCUAAAUUGCCUUUUAAAUGUUGAUGACUGAAUUUGAUGACUGCCUAGACAAAAAUAAAAUUGUACCAUUUUAUGU